CUUAACCCUUUGUAGUUUAGUAUAUAGAUGGUCGCUUUUGCGAGGCAUUUGUCUGAUGCUUCU
Molecule: small nucleolar RNA, 63 nt
Filed under: Megaselia scalaris
Lineage: Eukaryota; Metazoa; Arthropoda; Insecta; Diptera; Phoridae
Description: Small nucleolar RNA Me28S-Am2589
Rfam family: Small nucleolar RNA Me28S-Am2589
About the family: Me28S-Am2589 is a member of the C/D class of snoRNA which contain the C (UGAUGA) and D (CUGA) box motifs. This family directs 2'-O-methylation of 28S A-2589.
Source: Rfam by way of RNAcentral